Molecule: ribosomal RNA, 92 nt
Filed under: Tuber californicum
Lineage: Eukaryota; Fungi; Ascomycota; Pezizomycetes; Pezizales; Tuberaceae
Description: partial 5.8S ribosomal RNA
Rfam family: 5.8S ribosomal RNA
About the family: 5.8S ribosomal RNA (5.8S rRNA) is a component of the large subunit of the eukaryotic ribosome. It is transcribed by RNA polymerase I as part of the 45S precursor that also contains 18S and 28S rRNA.
Source: RNAcentral
AUGUGAAUUGCAGAAUUCAGUGAAUCAUCGAAUCUUUGAACGCACAUUGCGCCCUUUGGUAUUCCUUAGGGCAUGCCUGUUCGAGCGUCACU